CCAAACUGCGCGAAAGAGCAAGACUCUGUCUCAAAAAACUAAAAAUAAAUAAAUGAAUAAAUAAAAAUAAUAAUAAUUGAGUAAUCCAUAGGAAGAUAAACUUUCUUUACUGGAAAAUUCAAAGCAUUAUUAUCUUCAAUUUUGGAGAUAAGAAUACAACUUUUAAGCAUUUAUUUAUGUAAAUGUUUUUAAUAAAAACUUAUCUGAUAAAAAUAAGGUGCUACCUACUGAAGUGAUUAAUAUUCAGGUGACAGUGGAAAAUGAUUAGAUUUAUAUUGAUUUUAUCAGUCUACAUUUUUCCUCUGGAUGUAGGAAGAAGGUUAUUUGGACAUCAUAGUCCCUUAAAAAAGGUUGUGGAAUGAAAUAGUGUAUGUCUUGCCUUAAUUGGAUUAAAGUAUAAUCCUAUUGAGACUUUCUUAUUUCUCAUUUGGAAUGGAAGCUCAAGACACCUGGAGCAUUAUUUGAGUCUUGUGAGGGAUCAGUAGAAUAUCUUAGGCACGUGGUGACAGAAUACUGAAGACACAAUGGCUAAUUAAGUGUAGAAUAGUUCCAUUUUAUUUCAGGGAGACAGAUUCAUGUUUGUUUUCAAACUAAAUUCUUUGCUUAACUUCCUUGAUUCUACAAAAAUAGAAAACAUUAUUUCAAAGAGAAAUAUUUUGAGGCUAAUGGAAAAACAUAUGCUACAUUGUAUUAUAAAUGAAUGCAAGAUGGCAUUGUUAAUUUGCUUGUAUUUUUGUUGUAGGCUUAUACUCAGGGAGACAUCUGGAUUAAAGGAGCUUUAUUUCUUCUGGGUGGGACACUAAUAUAAUUUUAUAGGAACUGGCUCCCUGCAGUGAUUAUCUGACUGUUAUCAUUGGAUUAUUCUUAAGCAAUCUCAAAUCAAACUGUUUUGAAGCAAAAAAAGAUGCAGUCAUUUAACAUUAUUAUGAACAUACAUUUCAGCUUGAACUAGGCUGAAAUAUCUGCAAGUGUUAAUGAACAAUUCACAGGAGAAAGCUUUUCAACAAAGCAGUCCAACCUCCAGUGCGGCCUUCUGAGAGAUGGAGGUAAAUGAAAUCAGUGGUCUCAUUGUUCACCAACCAGCCCAGCCAAGGGGAUCUGCUCAGUAAAUGAAGGUCUCUAGGCAUUUUGCUCAAAGGAAAUAGGAUCAAGGUUACAAUAAACAAAUUUUUCUGGUGACACUUUCCAAUUAUGGCAUAUUCUGUCUCCCUCUGGUUGUCCUGGUAACUUUAAUUAAAGCUGCUCCAGUCUAUUUUGGAGCUUUAAAUACUGUAAUAUACUCCAACUCUUAAUUCAACCUUGAUAUUGAGCUUAUGAUUAGAUAACAAGAAGAGGAACAUGACAAAUGUUCUCAAGUGAUUUUUAAAGUAGGUUUUGUUUUUGUUUUCCUGGAAGUACUAGAUUAUUGUUAUUUAACCAAAUAGUUGUUUUUUGUUUUUUUUUUUAUUUUUCUUUAACUCUUAGGCCAGUCAUUCUAUAUCAUUUCUAUUUGUCAGCAGUGCCAAUAACAUUUUAUAAAAAUGCAGGUUUCUGAUCUUUAUCUCUAGGGAUUUUAACUAAAAAAUGUGGAAAGAAACUCAAGAAAAAUUAGAUCCAAAGAAGUGAGAAGGGGGAUCCAGGAAGGAAUUCUGAAAUUCUUUAGAGACUCAAAGAAGAAUACAAAAUUCAUUGUGUUUGGCUAUUAGGGGUCAUUGGUUUACUUUUGUGAGAAUAGAUUCAAUAGAAUGCAUUGGAACAGAAUAAAGAUGGUAGUGUUAAGGAGUGAUUGGAAAGUGAAACAUUGGCAAGAAAUUUGUCUGGAUUUUCAUGAAGUUUGGUAGGACAGUGAAGGAAAAUGUGGAGUACUACUAAAGCAUGUUUUUCUUUCUUGUUUAUUUUUGACACUGGAGGACAUAUAAGCAUGCUUAUAGCUAGAAAAGCAGAAAUCUAUGAAAUUUGAAAAUAAGAAAAAUAUAGUCUGAAUGUUGAAGGAUGAUUCCAGAAAAAGCAGACAGAGAGAGAUCGAGGUCAUGCAAUUUUCUUUGAAAAGAUUUUGGAACCUUUCACUUGGGACAGAAGGAAUAUUAUUAGAUGUAAAUAAAGACAGUUUUGCAGGUAGAGAAAAUUUAAAAGUCACAAUGGAUGACCACUUUUCUCUUGGUCAAGUAGAAGGGGAUAUUAUAUGUAAGAUAGAAGGGGCUAUGGGAGUCUUGGGGACUUGUUGAAGAUUUGGGAGAGCAAAGUAAGAAAAGGUGAAAGGAGUCUAUUAUGGGUAAGUAAAAUGACUGAGGAAUAAAAUCUAGGGCCUUCCUAAUACUGAGAAGAAUCAGAAGAUAUAAAACACCCUCAUAUUCUAAAAAUGAGGUUCCAAGCUACAUAUGAAUUUCAAAGACCUUUCUGAAAACUCUGUGUUUAUGUAGAUGUGCAUAUUUUGAUCAUUAAUCCAGAAUCUGUCUGGAGGGUAUAAAUUAUCCAGGUUAAAGAGAACAGGAGAAAAAUUCCUUUGAAAGAGGUAUAAAAUGUUGUGCCAUUUGCUUUCUCCAAGGAGAAAAGUAUGCUUACCCUUCUCUGUAAUCUUAGUGUAAAUGUCUUUGAGAAGAUUACUUAGACAGCUAAUACAUUUCCCUUUGAGUCUGAGUGGUGAAGGGAUUAGGUAAUCCAUUAUUGUUUUGCAAAAUUGAGAUUACUUUUAUUUAUUUGGAUUUGAUACAUGCCUGUGGAUGCUAAAAGGGAAGUGCUGAGGCUCGACAUGUUUACCUGGUGACAGGGCAAUGAGACACGGCAUCAAGGGCCACAAACUUACAUACAAAACAAGGCAGUGUGAGAUGGAGCUGGUCUCGGACAGGACCCAACAGGGCUUCCUGCCAGGAACAAAACUAGUUUAGCGGAAAGAGCGUAGAAAUAUACUGUCAAAUGGGAGCUGAGAGGCUGGGGUUUAAAUGACCCUCAGAAGUAUUACAUUGCAACUGAAUGUCCUGGGUACCUCCAAACAACUGGGAAAGUAUCUCAAUAAAGGAAUAAGUCAGUGUUGAACAUCCAUCAGCUGCAGAGAGUAACAACACAUAAUUAUAGUCAAGAAAAGGCCAUCUGUUGUGAACUUUCUCAUAGUGCCAUUGCUGAAAUCACUGUGCUUGAGCUGCUAAGUAGUGUCAAGAUGAAAUCAGGAGGAAAAACUUGGAGAGUGGACAUAGCCAUCUACCACAUUCCCCAUCUGAAGUUUCUCUGUCUGAAGCAGUACUAACAUAGUAAUGGGAUUUUAAAUGAAUUUUACAUUAAGCUUAGAUAUUUGAUUUUUAUUCCAGACUAGAUAUUGUAAUUGAUUAACUGAGACUACUUUUAGCAAUAACACUUUUAUGUACAAUGGUGAGUGGAAAAAUUAGGGAACCUGAAAGGCAUAAUGUUGUGUUCAAGUAUGAUUAAUAGACAAGCCAACAAAAGGAUGAUUUAAACAGAGUGUGGAUUUAUUUUUCCUCCUGUAAUAAGAUAUACAUAGGUAGGUAACUCAAGAGAUUUCCAGAAAUCCCACUGUGUUACUUCUGUGUCUAUCUCACUGGGCAACCUUUGGCUGCAAGGGGGAUAAGAAAUGUAGUUUUAGCCAGGCCAUUGCUUCUCUGAACAAAAUUGGGCGAACAAUUACAAUGUAUAUCCCACCAGUUGAUGUCUAUGUGAAGACUUUUUCAGGAUUUAAUAUGAGUUUUAUGGAAGACGGUCUAGAGAAAAAUCAUUUUAAAGAAGCAGAGGAGAGGAAAGGAAACGUUGUUUUCUGUGGGCAUUUUUUAUAUGGAGCCCCACCUUUCAAUGUAACAGUUAUAUUCAUAAUCAAAUCAGCUUUCUCUAACACGGCUUGGCAUAAUAUGAAGAGUAGAAAACUGCAAUUACUUUUGCACCAACUUAAUAGAAUGAGAAGACUGUUGAAUCCAUCUAGGAUUGAGGAUUAGCAAAGUAAACUUUGUAAACAUCAAGGAUAUUUGAGAAUAGUCAACAGUAGUUGAAGUAUUUGAAACCAGGAACCAUGUUAGAUAGGAUCUGAUAAUGGUCAAGAAAUAAGAGUUCAAGGGAGUAGAUGUUUUUUAUGUGGAUAAAGUGUACAUUUAUAAGGAACAGUGGAGACACAAGAAGUUGUGGUAAAGGACAGAAAUUUAAGAAAUUAAGUGUUCUGGGUAAAAAGAAUGUAGAGGCAUGAGUGAAUGAGCUGGUUACUUAGAUGGAGAAGAGUGAAAGUUUUUG
Molecule: non-coding RNA, 4206 nt
Organism: Chlorocebus sabaeus (green monkey)
Lineage: Eukaryota; Metazoa; Chordata; Mammalia; Primates; Cercopithecidae
Source: RefSeq, a predicted model, not a curated record